RNAcentral lists this ribosomal RNA (467 nucleotides) under uncultured bacterium. RNAcentral's name for it is "partial 16S ribosomal RNA". It matches the Rfam family "Bacterial small subunit ribosomal RNA", at positions 28 to 507 of the family's 1533-position model. The record is from RNAcentral.
GACGAACGCUGGCGGCGUGCUUAACACAUGCAAGUCGAACGGAAAGGCCUCUUUCGGGGGGUACUCGAGUGGCGAACGGGUGAGUAACACGUGAGUAACCUGCCCUUGACUUUGGGAUAACUUCAGGAAACUGGGGCUAAUACCGGAUAGGAGCUCCUGCUGCAUGGUGGGGGUUGGAAAGUUUCGGCGGUUGGGGAUGGACUCGCGGCUUAUCAGCUUGUUGGUGGGGUAGUGGCUUACCAAGGCUUUGACGGGUAGCCGGCCUGAGAGGGUGACCGGCCAUAUUGGGACUGAGAUACGGCCCAGACUCAUACGGGAGGCAGCAGUGGGGAAUAUUGCACAAUGGGUGGAAGCCUGAUGCAGCAACGCCGUGUGCGGGAUGACGGCUUUCGGGUUGUAAACCGCUUUCGCUCAUGACGAAGCUUUGUGUGACGGUAGUGGGUAAAGAAGCACCGGCUAACUACGUG